UAAUACCCUAUAGGUUAUAGAUGCUGGAAUGCUCUGUAACUCAAAGUUCAGGCGCCUUAGGAUGGAUCUGCGGCCGAUUAGGUUGUUGUUGGGGUAAUGGCCCAACAAGCCAGUAAUCGGUACGGGUUGUGGGAGCAAGAGCCCGGAGUUGGAUUCUGAGACACGAAUCCAGGCCCUACGGGGCGCAGCAGGCGCGAAAACUUUACAAUGCGGGCAACCGUGAUAAGGGAACCUCGAGUGCCUGUAAAUGCAGGCUGUUCAGAUGCCUAAAACACAUCUGGAGAAAGGGCCGGGCAAGACCGGUGCCAGCCGCCGCGGUAAUACCGGCGGCUCGAGUGGUGGCCACUUUUAUUGGGCUUAAAGCGUUCGUAGCUGGGUUGUUAAGUCUCUUGGGAAAUCCGCCGGCUCAACCGGCGGGCGUCUAAGGGAUACUGUUAGUCUAGGGACCGGGAGAGGUGAGAGGUACUCCGGGGGUAGGAGUGAAAUCCUGUAAUCCCCGGGGGACCACCUGUGGCGAAGGCGCCUCACCAGAACGGCUUCGACAGUGAGGGACGAAAGCUGGGGGAGCAAACCGGAUUAGAUACCCGGUAGUCCCAGCCGUAACGAUGUGCGUUAGGUGUAU
This 622-nucleotide ribosomal RNA is filed under the name uncultured archaeon. RNAcentral's name for it is "bacterial SSU rRNA". It matches the Rfam family "Archaeal small subunit ribosomal RNA", at positions 147 to 776 of the family's 1478-position model. The record is from RNAcentral.